This 450-nucleotide ribosomal RNA is filed under the name uncultured prokaryote. RNAcentral's name for it is "bacterial SSU rRNA". It matches the Rfam family "Bacterial small subunit ribosomal RNA", at positions 355 to 796 of the family's 1533-position model. The record is from RNAcentral.
UAGGGAAUAUUGGACAAUGGGCGAAAGCCUGAUCCAGCGACGCCGCGUGGGUGAUGAAGGCCUUCGGGUUGUAAAGCCCUGUGGGGAGGAGAGAAAAAGGUGCGGGUUAAUAUCUUGUGCCCUUGACGGUACCUCCUUAGCAAGCACCGGCUAACUCUGUGCCAGCAGCCGCGGUAAGACAGAGGGUGCAAACGUUGCUCGGAAUUACUAGGCGUAAAGCGCGUGUAGGCGGACCGGUAAGUCAGGUGUGAAAGCCCUGGGCUCAACCCAGGAACUGCACUUGAAACUGCUGGUCUUGAGUGGUGGAGAGGGAAGUGGAAUUCCUGGUGUAGAGGUGAAAUUCGUAGAUAUCAGGAGGAACACCGGUGGCGAAGGCGGCUUCCUGGACACCAACUGACGCUGAGACGCGAAAGCGUGGGGAGCAAACAGGAUUAGAUACCCCUGUAGUCC